This 254-nucleotide ribosomal RNA is filed under the name uncultured bacterium. Its description in RNAcentral is "partial 16S ribosomal RNA". It matches the Rfam family "Bacterial small subunit ribosomal RNA", at positions 524 to 776 of the family's 1533-position model. The record is from RNAcentral.
UACGUAGGGGGCUAGCGUUGUCCGGAUUUAUUGGGCGUAAAGAGCUCGUAGGUGGUUUGGUAAGUCGGAUGUGAAAUCUCCAGGCUCAACCUGGAGGGGUCAUUCGAUACUGCCAUGACUAGAGUUCGGUAGGGGAGUGUGGAAUUCCUGGUGGAGCGGUGAAAUGCGUAGAUAUCGGGAGGAACACCUGUGGCGAAAGCGGCUCACUGGACCACAACUGACGCUGAGGCGCGAAAGCUAGGGGAGCAAACAGG